Papilio machaon (common yellow swallowtail) is the source of this 130-nucleotide long non-coding RNA. RefSeq lists it as uncharacterized. NCBI's taxonomy places the organism in Eukaryota, Metazoa, Arthropoda, Insecta, Lepidoptera, Papilionidae. The record is from RefSeq and is a predicted model, not a curated record. The transcript has 3 exons.
GUUUAGUUAUAAAACUUGUCUGUUAUUGUUUCUAUUAUUUGGCAGUCAUGUAUUCGGAGUUUCACGAAAUAAACGUUGUAUAGUGGUACAAAAACAAUCUGGUACCCACGGCGACAGUUCUGAGGGUGGU